Molecule: ribosomal RNA, 253 nt
Filed under: uncultured bacterium
Lineage: Bacteria
Description: partial 16S ribosomal RNA
Rfam family: Bacterial small subunit ribosomal RNA
Source: RNAcentral
UACAGAGACUGCAAGCGUUAUUCGGAUUCACUGGGCGUAAAGGGUGCGCAGGCGGCCAAGUGUGUGAGGCGUGAAAGCCCGGGGCUUAACCCCGGAAUUGCACCUCAAACCACAUGGCUAGAGCAUUGGAGAGGGUAGCAGAAUUCAUGGUGUAGCAGUGAAAUGCGUAGAUAUCAUGAGGAAUACCAGAGGCGAAGGCGGCUACCUGGACAAUUGCUGACGCUCAGGCACGAAAGCGUGGGGAGCAAAAGGG